This 858-nucleotide ribosomal RNA is filed under the name Lactiplantibacillus plantarum. Its description in RNAcentral is "bacterial SSU rRNA". It matches the Rfam family "Bacterial small subunit ribosomal RNA", at positions 56 to 883 of the family's 1533-position model. Lineage: Bacteria; Bacillati; Bacillota; Bacilli; Lactobacillales; Lactobacillaceae. The record is from RNAcentral.
UGCAGUCGACGAACUCUGGUAUUGAUUGGUGCUUGCAUCAUGAUUUACAUUUGAGUGAGUGGCGAACUGGUGAGUAACACGUGGGAAACCUGCCCAGAAGCGGGGGAUAACACCUGGAAACAGAUGCUAAUACCGCAUAACAACUUGGACCGCAUGGUCCGAGCUUGAAAGAUGGCUUCGGCUAUCACUUUUGGAUGGUCCCGCGGCGUAUUAGCUAGAUGGUGGGGUAACGGCUCACCAUGGCAAUGAUACGUAGCCGACCUGAGAGGGUAAUCGGCCACAUUGGGACUGAGACACGGCCCAAACUCCUACGGGAGGCAGCAGUAGGGAAUCUUCCACAAUGGACGAAAGUCUGAUGGAGCAACGCCGCGUGAGUGAAGAAGGGUUUCGGCUCGUAAAACUCUGUUGUUAAAGAAGAACAUAUCUGAGAGUAACUGUUCAGGUAUUGACGGUAUUUAACCAGAAAGCCACGGCUAACUACGUGCCAGCAGCCGCGGUAAUACGUAGGUGGCAAGCGUUGUCCGGAUUUAUUGGGCGUAAAGCGAGCGCAGGCGGUUUUUUAAGUCUGAUGUGAAAGCCUUCGGCUCAACCGAAGAAGUGCAUCGGAAACUGGGAAACUUGAGUGCAGAAGAGGACAGUGGAACUCCAUGUGUAGCGGUGAAAUGCGUAGAUAUAUGGAAGAACACCAGUGGCGAAAGCGGCUGUCUGGUCUGUAACUGACGCUGAGCUCGAAAGUAUGGGUAGCAAACAGGAUUAGAUACCCUGGUAGUCCAUACCGUAACGAUGAAUGCUAAGUGUUGGAGGUUUCCGCCCUUCAGUGCUGCAGCUAACGCAUUAAGCAUUCCGCCUGGGGAGUAC